Molecule: ribosomal RNA, 95 nt
Filed under: uncultured bacterium
Lineage: Bacteria
Description: partial 16S ribosomal RNA
Rfam family: Bacterial small subunit ribosomal RNA
Source: RNAcentral
CACCGCCUGUCACACCAUGGGAGUUUGUUGCACCAGAAGCAGGUAGCUUAACCGCAAGGGGGGCGCUUGCCACGGUGUGGCCGAUGACUGGGGUG